GUAUGUUUUAGAUUUUAAAGUCAAGUGAUGGUAUGAAGCUUUGAGUCAAUGCUACGUAACGUAAUUUUGUAGUGGAAGCAGAAAAUUCAGAGUACUGUAUUAAAAACUAUGUUCAGAACACUCUUGGCUUGCUGCCACCUAGAGACCAAAAUAAGUAAUGCGGUAGAUUUCCAUUGGAGACCUUUCGUUUUCUCUGGUCUGUAAGUGGCCACAACUUGGCACAGUAACAGCUUCUAUAUGCGUUCAAGGAUAACUGAUGGGCUUUUAAUAUUGGAUAUUAAAGAAGCAGCAAGUCAUUACUGGGAGCCAGGCUGUGAUGGGCUGGCGAGCCAAUCCUUUUGGGUUUCAGGAGUAUAAUGGUCUCUUGGUGAUAAGAGGGCAUGGCCCAAUUUCUUCCACAGUGGAUGAUGUAAUGCUGUCAAGUAAAACAAAAAUUAUUGUGGAUGGAAUGAGGUAAUUAAAAGAAAAACCAUGCCCAGGCAUCAUAUGGUUCUUUUGAGUCAGAUGAUUUCAAACGCACAUUUUUACAGCUACACUAUGCACUUCACCUCUGUCUUGAUAGUUGGCCUUGUACUUCCUUCAUUCUGGCAUGUUGUGGCUGUUUUCAUUGGUGAGUGAAUUGAUGCCACCUGAUCACUACUUUUCUGUUUCAACCUCUCUCUCACUUCAUUUAAUUGUAACUUUACAAAUUUACAAAUAUGACCUAUCACCCAACAAAAUCACCCAUCGCUUAACAUAAUACAAUAACUAAAAUGUUAUAUGAUUUCUGUGUCCUUCUUAGAUUUUUAAUAUAUAUAUUUAAUUUAUAUCCUGCCCUUCCUCUCAAAGGAGAUCAGGGAGGCAAACGACAAGUGAUAGAACAGUAAAAACAUCUUUAAAGAAUCUUUUUUUAAAAAAAUCCAAUCCAGAUGCAACAAGUUUUCUUCUCAGUGUGAUUAUAUGUUUGACCCACUCUUCAUAUAUUUUCUCUUUUGUUGAUUCCCUAGUUGUACAUGUGCUGUUGGGAAUGAUCUUCCCACAAGAGGGGAGGAGCUAUAUUUUUUAAACUGACCCUUGGCUAAUUUAGCUUUUGUGCUAUUUCCCCCCCCACAAAUGCCAGGAACUUCCCUCAGUGAUCCGAAGAGGCACUUUUUACAACUCUCUAGUAAAAAUAUUUUAAAAUAAAUUUAUAAAAUGUAGAUGGGUAGGGAGAAGGAGAAACAAAUGUAAAGACAAUGCCAUUUGGAAAGGGUUAACGACUGAGAAUUCAUCCCUAAAGAUAAGGGGCAAACCAUACAGUCAGGAAAUAUUUGGAACAGCCUAUACAAGUCCAGUAUCACAUUCAUGAUGACCCAAAAUCAUAGAAGUAAUUAUUGUGCAAAACUAAUGGGACUUAACCCCCACUGGGCAGGCAUACCGGUUCCGCCAUACAGUGGUACCUUGGGUUAAGAACUUAAUUCGUUCCGGAGGUCCGUUCUUAACCUGAAACUGUUCUUAACCUGAAGCACCACUUUAGGUAAUGGGGCCUCCCGCUGCACCGCCACACGAUUUCUGUUCUCACCCUGAAGCAAAGUUCUUAACCCGAGGUACUAUUUCUGGGUUAGCAGAGUCUGUAACCUGAAGCGUCUGUAACCUAAAGCGUCUGUAACCCAAGGUACCACUGUAUUACCGCCAUCUCCCCCCCCCCGAGUUGUAGUGGCCUGCAAUUGGUCAGAAGAGGGAGCAAAUAAUUUCUAGCCAUAGUGCAGUUGUCUGCUCUUUACUCUGCUACUAAUGCUAUUCCAUGUCUAUGUGGCCUUCUGUUUUUCUGCCAGGGUCAAAGUUGUAGAGAAUAAUGUUAGACUCGGGUGAAAUCAAUUAUAUAUGCAUAUUUAUGCUGGCAAUAAUAAAAAAAUAAUCUCUUGAUUACAAGGUCUCGUUGUAAUCUGUACACCUGUACAAAAUAUGGUUCUCCUUGAAUUCUCUAAAAUGUUUAUCCAUCCUCUUCUUUAGACAUCAGUACCAAUAAUAAAUGUUUUCUUGCAAGCUAGACAGCUUUCAGUCUCUGUGCAUAUCUUUCCAUUUCUGCUAUAGAGACACAGUUCACACGUAUCCUUAAGGCAAUAGACCAAGAUGACAAAAGGUGAAAAAAAAUAAGUCAGGCAACAAUUAAAAAACAACACGUGCCCACUCAAAACAAGCACAAAAAUACAAUAAUGAAUAUAUAUAUAUAUAUAUCCCAAGACAAGCUGUUCAGAGCAUAAAAAUAUCUCUCAUGUACUUUCUCCAAACUAGCCCUGCAAAUCCAUCAGCAUCAAGUACGAAGUGAAAAGGCAAUUACCGAGAACCCAAGAAAAAAACUUCACUAAGCACGAGCAACUCCAGAGGCCUCCUCACUCUGCCCGACUAGAAUUAAAGGAUCUAGGGGUAGCCAAUGCAGUGCCCUCUAUAUGCUGGUGGACUGAAAGUCCCACCAGCCCCAGCCGGCAUGGGCAAUGGUCAGGGACAGCGCAAGUUGUAGUUCAGCAGCAUCUGGAGGGCACCAUGUUGGGUACUCCUGGGUUACAUCUACAUGGGGGAAGCGCCAUGGAGAAGGGAGGAACAGAAGGAAGGUAAGAAUGAAAAGUGGGCUGGAGGAAUUUGGUAAGUUAAUGAAUUGUGGGGUGAGAAUGUGACAUGACUUCUGAGACCAGUGCAAUGAGUUAACCAGAGGCAGUUUGCAAGAAACAUUUGAGUUGUAUUGUAUUGUAUUCCCCGCCCCCCAGUUUUCCAGUUUGUAGUUACAUAUUCAGUGUGCAUCUUUUGUAUAAUUUUAAGUUUUGAGUCAAGUUCCGGUUUAGAUUGUUUCUUUCAGGCUAUGUUCAGUUUCUAUCUGCUGCUUGCUUCGCUUUUUUGUCAUUUAGAGUGCUUGGUACAUUUUGGUGGUUUCUCUGAUCUGGUGUGGGUUGUGGCUUGGGCACUCUUGUGUCAGUUCUGACAGGAUGUCAUGAAGAAUUUCACUAAAGCCAAGGAACACUAUAGUGUUGAUGUAGUACAUCAAUAUAUUGUGUUUUGGGUCUAAGGGAGAAUAACAAGUGCUAUCUCAUGCCAGAAGCUUAACUUUGGAGAUAGAAGGAUUAGUGCAUUUGUAGUUGGGUUUUAACAUUAAUCUUGAAAAUAAAAAAUUGUUUUGCUUUCCACAACCCCAUGCAUUUAUUUGUGCAAAGGAACUAUAACAUUAUACUGGACUGCCCAGUUAAUUCAACACAAAUCUCACUGACAGCAAAAGUUUGUGGCUGGUAUGUUGGAAGUGAAGGUUCAGAUUUCAUUGGAUAAAUAUCAAGGUGGGAUCAGGAAAAGUGUGGGGAAAGUGUCUGCAUUUUGGGGGCACAAGCUGCUGUUGGAUUACGGUGACUGAUGUUAGUAUUUGUAAUGUAAUUUCAUUGGGAAUGUAUUUCACAAAGAACAGAUGGCGCUGAAUAAAGGAGGUGGCAGUUGGUAGUUGACAACUGGCAGUUGGAAAUUACCGGUAACAGUUGGGAGUUGGUUGGUUAUACUGUUAGUUCUAUCUUGACUGCAAAGGUGAGAGGUAUGGGGACUUCAUGCAGACGCUGUCUGGAGGAGUUUAUAAAUAAUACUUGUUUAAAUGUUGCCAGCCUGACAAGUGGGAAGAUUUAUCUUCAACUAUUUAUGUGAGGCAUAUUUUUAAAAAAAUCACAGAUAGCCAACAAUUGAUUCUGUGACGCACAUUAACCUACUGAAGUGUGCUUGUUCUGGCUGCAGCUCUCAAAUACAGUACCGACUAUCAGCUUAAGGAAACCUGAAAGCUUUAUUCAAGUAGUCAGCAUGUGGUCUAAGCAUUAGCCCCACAGUACAGGAUACAUGAUUCAUAAGUCUACAGCAGAGCUCUAAGACAUAUGACUAAGAAGUAGCUAUAGAUGUUGUCUCAACACCUGACAUGUCCCUCCCACUCCACUUUUAACUGAGAUGGGUGGGACCAGUCAUUCAUGUGAUUCUCAUCCCAAGUGAGAAGACUGUGCUUUCAAGUGUGAACUUCUAUUGGGGUGGGGUGGGGUGGCUGGGUCUGUUUACACCAGUGCAAUCCUUGGUGCCAGGACCUUGAUCCAACCCUCUAACUCUCCCUCUACUUAGACCGGCCAUGCUGGUUUGCCAGCCACCUCUUUGGUUACCAUGGAAAUAUCACGGGGGGGGGGGUGUGUCAGAGCGGAGACUGACUCAGGCGCUUCCCUUCCCCUUCUGGAUGGUCUGGCAGUACCGCAACAGAUCCCUUCCCCAAAUCCUUGCUCAAGCUCUUCUCACCUCCGGUUCCUCCUUCUCCUCCACUGGCAGAUCUUGCCCUUCCUUUGGGAUUACUUAUUUUUUUAACUUCCCAUCAGCUGCCAGAACCAUGGGAUAUUUUCAUUGUUUCGAAGCUAUCAGCGUUGCUUGUUUCUGAGCUGUGACAAUUAGGAAAGUAAAUGGGGUAGGCUGCAGGAGAUAAGGUGUCACGGAAAUGAUCGCAGUAUUAAAAAAUCUGGUAUUAAAAAAUCCAUGCAAGCCACUGUGGAAAUAUAAAUCUAUUGAAUCAUUGCAAAGUUUAAUUCCUUUGAAAACUGGUUCCAAUCAGAGAAUCAGAUUUCUUUAGAUGGGUAUGCCUAACAAGAUCUGCUUCUGCCAUCAACUCUCCAUCAGGGUAACAUAAAUUGGCCUGCCAGUUAUAUCAGAAUAUCUUGCUAUGAUGUUUCUAAGAAUAUUUAUAAACUUCUGGAAUCUCCCAAACCAAAAUGGGCAGUUUCUUUGGAAGAGUUCAAUGUAGCAUAUUUUCUUAAGAAUCAUUUUGUAGCCGAAGUGAUUCCCCCCCCCCCCCCGGCAAAGAAAUAGUGUUGUUUUCAGAAUAAUGGGCCAUAUUUUGUCAGAAAAAUAGAUAACGGUGAACUGCCAUCUAGCUCAUUAAUGUUGGCAUGGUCUCCAGGUCAUACGACAGGAGAUACCAUAUCUGGAAAUACCAAGGUAUGAAUUUGGAACAGUGUUCUCUAAGCUACUAACGUGAGUUUGACCAAACUGCGGGAGGCAGUGGAAGACAGGAGUGCCUGGCAUGCUCUGGUCCAUGGGGUCAUGAAGAGUCGGACACAACUAAACGACUAAAUAGCAACAACAUGUGAAGCAUAUGCUGUGAAUAUGAGCUACAGUCCUUCCACUUAAAGCCAUAAUUGUUACCCUAUAUAUAUAUUCAUAGAAUCAUAGAGUUGGAAGGGACCACAGGGGUCAUAUACUCCAACCCGCUGCAAUGCAGGAAUCUUUUGCCCAAAAAUAGAAGGUUGCUGCCCUUCACUUACCAGACACAAAACAAAGUAAGUUGGAAGCUUUUCCCAUAAUUGGUACAGACAUCACAUCACUUUAGGCACACUGGCUUGUAUCCAAUGCAGCACCAAGCUAGCAUCCUAUUCGUAUAAGGAUUUAUGCUUGCACAAUGAGACUCGCCUUCCUCUCCUUCCCCACAGUAAAAGGUAAAGGUAAAGGGGCCCCUGACCAUUAGGUCCAGUCGUGACCGACUCUGGGGUUGCGGCACUCAUCUCGCUUUAUUGGCCGAGGGAGCCGGCGUACAGCUUCCAGGUCAUGUGGCCAGCAUGACUAAGCCACUUCUGGCGAACCAGAGCAGCACACGGAAAUGCCGUUUACCUUCCUGCCGGAAGGUAUUUAUCUACUUGCACUUUGACAUGCUUUCGAACUGCUAGGUUGGCAGGAGCAGGGACCAAGCAACAGGAGCUCACCCCGUCACGGGGAUUUGAACCGCCGACCUUCUGAUCGGCAAGUCCUAGGCUAGGUUUAACCCACAGCACCACCCGCGUCCCUCUCCUUCCCCACAUGCAUCCCCUAAAUCUACUCUGGGGCUUCUGUUUUCUUUGGAAGGUCCUAGUGAAUCUCCUCAUUCAACUUGUCCAGUACUGGUUUCUUUCCCUAUACAGUAUUCCCCUGGUAUACUUGGUUCCAUGUUUAUUUCUUAGUUUGUAAAACAGCGUGCUCUAGAUGUGAUUGCAAGCGUGGGUUUCUGCAGAAGAUUCAGGACAGACAAAAGAAAGCAUUUCUUCACCCAGCACACAGUUAAACUGUGAGGAUUGCUACUGUAAGAGGUAGUGACAGCCACCAAAUUGGGUGGUUUUAAAAGGGGGUUAGCUAAAUUCAUGAAGGAUACAGCUAUACUGUAUAAGUGUACAGUGGUACCUCAGGUUACAGACGCUUCAGGUUACAGACGCUUCAGGUUACAGACUCCGCUAACCUAGAAAUAGUACCUCAGGUUAAGAACUUUGCUUCAGGAUGAGAACAGAAAUCGCGCAGUGGUGGCGCGGUGGCAGUGCGGUGGCAGCGGAAGGUCCCAUUAGCGAAAGUGGUACCUCAGGUUAAGAACAGUACCAGGUUAAGAACGGACCUCCGGAACGAAUUAAGUUCUUAACCCGAGGUACCACUGUAUAUGGUUCUAACCAUGAUGUGAUCCACCUCCACUGUCAAAAGCAGUAUGCUUCUGAAUACCAUUUACUACAGUUCAGGAGAAUGUCGUUACACUCAGAUUCUACUAGCGGGGUUCCCAUGAACACAUGGCUGAUCACCGUGAAAACAAAAUCCUGGACUAGAUGGGUCUUUGUCCUGAUCCUGUGGGACUCUUUUUUCUGUUCUUAUGUGAACCCACACCCUGGGAUAGCUCAGACGGUAGAGCAUGAUACCGUUAAUCUCAAGGUCAUGGGUUCGAGCCCCACAUUGGGCACAAUAUUCCUGCAUUGCAGGGGGUUGGACUAGAUGAUCCUUGUGGUCCCUUCCAACUCUACAGUUCUAUGAGCUUGCAUUGUUCAUAGAAUCUUCCACCUUGAAAACUUCCACACGUUUCACUAACUGAAGUUGGAGAAUAAAAAGUAUCCCUUUAUAUAUUGUCUCUCCAUUUUCCUGGGAUUUUUAAAAUAUAUAUACAGUGGUACCUCGGGUUAAGUACUUAAUUCGUUUCAGAGGUCCGUUCUUAACCUGAAACUGUUCUUAACCUGAAGCACCACUUUAGCUAAUGGGGCCUCCUGCUGCUGCCGCGCAGCCAGAGCACGAUUUCUGUUCUCAUCCUGAAGCAAAGUUCUUAACCCGAGGUACUAUUUCUGGGUUAGCAGAGUCUGUAACCUGAAGCAUAUGUAACCUGAAGUGUAUGUAACCCGAGGUACCACUGUAUAUAGAUAUAUAUAAAACCUUCAACAAACAAUUUUCAUUAAAACGUACACUGCCGCCUGAGACUUAUGAAUGACCCUGCCAGGCCAAGCUGUCAACAGAAUGGCAAUUUAUAUUAUUACAUCUGUUCAGCUAGAAUACAUUGCAGCAGAGUGUCUCAGCAAGUUGUAUGGGAGACUGGUCAGCCAGUGACAGCAAAGCCCUCUUGAUCCUGGGCCAGUCGCUUAAUGAGACAGACCAUCCGAAGCCAAGCUCCUGUUUCAUAUCCUCCCCUCCUUUCUCCAAUGACCUCUGUGAGGCUUUUAGCUGUUUAGCAAACUGGCAAAGGCACUGUCCCUGACAUGGUAGUGUCAAUACUGUCUGAAACAGAUAACCCUCCAAUUGUAGAAUUAUUAAAGGUCUUUUGUCUCAGCUUCCCCUAUUUUUAAACCACCUCAAAUGCUUACCUCUAUAAAUGCACUGUGAGCAUGCUACUAAAUGGAUGUUCACAGGAAGUUUGUCGUUUGCCUCCAAAUGGUCGGCUUCCAAUGAUGAUCUUUCACUUAAGAGGAUUGCUUGCUAAUGGUCAAGGCUGACCAGCUGAUAUUUUUUCAGUGGCAGAUAAUGACUGGAAAUGCCCCCCUAUUGGGCAGUAUGACUGGAUUCAACAAAUGAGUCCCAUUAGCAGAAGCCAGCCAGCACAAUGUGGCUUCCCCCACCUGCUCCUCUCCUUGCACCUUCAAAAAUGAGCUCUGGGAGGGUUGGGAAGAACCCCCAUGACAGCGCUUGGAGGCAGGAGAGGGGAUCAUUCCAUCUGGCAAGCUGAAAAGUUUGCACUGACAGAUCGACUGCUAUAGCACUAUGUUGAAUUUCUCCCUCAAUCUGCAAGGUGUUCCUGUAUGAAACUCUCACCAUCUUAUUCGGCUGUGAAUGAGAUUUUAUCACCAUUUCAUGAUUAUUUAUUUAUUAACGUUUAUCUAAGCUUUAUUUGAGGGUCACUCAAGAUGUCUUAUGGCAGCAAAAGAUGAAAAUCUGUCCUGGAAGUGACAAGAGCAUGAAUAACUUUGGCUGGACUUGGUUUCUCCAGGAAAGGGCACAAGUUGUUUCAAAACAACUAGCCACAACUACCUGAGCAUUAAGCAGCAGGUUUAAAUUCAAGAGCACUCCCAAACUGCAAAUCCGCUGCUUCAGGGUUAGUGGACCAAAAACAGGAGAUAACACACAGAAAUAAAAAAAUGUGCAAAAUAUUUGUGAGUGCUAAAUAGAUAUAUGGCUUGGUUUUCAUUUAAUUAUGCAUAUAAGCUGCUGGCCUUGUCACUCAGCAUAAGGUGGAAAUACUUUUGCUUACCUGCACACACAUAGCAACAGAAUACUUUCUUGGAUAUACAAAACUGCAUAUAUUGAUUUUAGUAUUACAAAAACACUAGACUGGAGCAUGACAUUAGAUCUUAUGGAACCAGCCCACAUAUUGGACUCACCAAUUAUGAGUCUUGUUUGCUAUGCUGCUAAGGUUACUACCUUUUGAAGAAAAUCUGACACCUGGGUAGGACCUGAACUUGAGAGAAAUUGGGGAGGAACCUGAUAGACUCUGGUGGGGAAAGAGCAAUAUACAGUGGUGCCCCGCAAGACGAAUGCCUCGCAAGACGAAAAACCCGCUAGACGAAAGGGUUUUCCGUUUUUCGAUGCGCUUCGCAGGAUGAAUUUCCCUAUGGGCUUGCUUCGCAAGACGAAAAUGUCUUGCGAGUCUUGAGAUUUUUUUCGCUUCCCCCCCUUUUUCUAAGCCGCUAAGCCGCUAAUAGCCUUUUAGCCGCUAAGCCGCUAAGCCUUUAAUAGCCGCUAAACCGCUAAUAGCACUAAUCCGCUAAGCCGCUAAUAGGGUUGCUUCGCAAGACGAAAAAACCGCUAGACGAAGAGACUCGCGGAACGGAUUAAUUUCGUCUUGCGAGGCACCACUGUAAUGUGCUUAGAAUGUCAGACCAGGACUGCAGAGAGCAAGUUACAUCCAUACUCAGCCUUGAACUCAGUGGGUGACAAGAAGCCAGUCACUCCCUCUCAACCUAGCCUACCUCACAGGGUUGUUGUGAGGAUAAAAUGGAGAGAGCAGAGGGAACCAUAUGUUGGAGAUUCAUUCCCCGUGUCUGCAGUCAUGGGAUUGUUGUCUAUCACAUGACGGUGUAUGUUUUCAUUCCACAGUGUAAGAAGUGACGGAGACAGGAUGUUUGUGUUACUGUGUUCCAUGAAGUGGGACUAUUGUCCUUUGUUCUUUUCUCUUUUUGCUGUCUGAUGAGAAAGAGGCAGGAGUUAAGUCAGAAUGCUCUGAGUGUAUUAUAUGUAAAUAAAGUAGAUUAGCAAAAAUGCUGUGCUAUUGGUUCUGUUACGCAAACUGCGAACAUUCUGUGGAUCCCUAAGUGUGCUGAUGCCUGUAAUGUUCGGGCGGAAGAAUGCUUUUGUAGCUCCCGAACUAUUACUAUGUUUGUUAUGUUGCAGUUAUGUGUUUUUUUGCAUGUUGCAAGCUGCCUUGAGCAUGGUUUGAAUUAUGGGAAGGUGGCACAUUUUAUCUAAUGAUGUAUGUAUGUAUCUUGAACUCCUUAGUGGGAAAGCAAGGUAUAUAAACCAUUUUUAAAACAUAAAAACAACCUUCAGCCCCCUCAUUCCCAUCUGCAAUAUGAGAAAUCUAAUAUUGAGCUACUAUAUAGGAUUAUCAUAAAGAUUACUGAGGUAAUGAAUAUGAAUUGCUUUGGAUACUCACUGCGCAAAUGCCAAUUAUUGUUUUAAGUCUUGAAUGUAAUUUAUUUCUAGAACAAAAUCUUCAGAAAGGCUCAAAAUGCCAUGGCAUAUUUUAAUGUUGUAAGGAUAUAAAUGAAAAUAUAUUUGCAUUGUUAAUUUAUUAUGGAGUUUUUGACCUAUAGAGAUAAGAAAGGAUUUUUCGCUCUCUAAGAAAAGCAGCUUGACAUGCAAGCUUGUUAAUUCUCUUGAUGUACAGCAUCGCUGCCCUUUACAAAUACAACCACUUUACCUUGUAGCUUAUGAUAAUUAUCUGAUCAGAUAGCAAACACAAACGGUUGCCAUGUUCUGUAUGAAAUGUCUUAAGACACAGAAAAGGGGAAGGGAGAGAAGUUUCUUUGCUAAAGUUGAUUUGCUGCUCUAAGGAAACUCACAUCACCCUUAAAUUCGACGCAAACCGUCUGCAGAAGCACAAUAAAAUUCACAAAGAAAAUAGGAAAAUACAAUCACUUUGGAGCAAGCAAGAUAUCCAAGUGCUCUCUUCUGAUAGACAGGAAAAUCUCAGCAACAGAGAGCAGGACACACAAUUAGGCAAACAGAUGGACUGUGUUAUAAUAUUGAUUUGAGAGAUUGCACCAGAUACCACUAACGUAGCACAGCUACUGCCACAGAUAGGUAUGCAGCUGAGCCUGAAAUCCUGUAGUCAUUUGUACAGUAUUAGUAUUUUGGCUUUAUGGAGAGGACCUGUGUCGUCUCGGCAUGAGGCCGGCUAAUUUUACAGGGCUGCGCAGUAAAUCAAUGUGCUGCAAGGAUAACACAGAGAUAAUACGUUGUCAAACCAAGGCCCCGUGAAAAAGAAUGCACACAUUGCAUCUGGAAGGACACAGAGCAGUGUGUGUGUGUGUGUGUGUGUGUGUGUGUGUGUGUUGUUUUAUUUUGUUCUGGCAACGCCUCCUGGAUGACUUCUCUUUGCACACCAGCUCCGUGGCAUCCCUCCAAGGUAAUUUGUGAACCUUGGUUCACACCAUUUUCAAAGUAGGUCAUACACGGUAAUCUCAGUUGAGGAGAGAUACCCCUGUCAGCAGCAGUCACUAGAGGAUGCAGGGAGGACGGCAGCCUCGACCAAUCACAAAGCUGGUAUAAAUAAAUAGCAUGAGAGCUGUGGAACUGCACACGCUCCAAGGCCAGCAGCAUCAAGGUGCUUGCCUUGUUCAAACAGCUGACAGACAUGCUCUAACAGACCCAGAGCUCUCUCCCUCCCUCCCUCUGCCAUUUAUAGACGUAUAAGGACCAACUGUUCUGCUGAGCACACCAGCGGCAGGGCUUAAAUAUUAACCAUAAUGAAAAUACAGAAUAAAGGGAAAUCUAACCUUUACUCAGAGCCAGAAUCUCAGCUAAUGCUGACAUAUAAGAUUUCCAGGAAAAGAAGUUACUAUGGGCUUCAUAUUACCAUGCCUUAAUGAGCCUCACUUAAGCAUUCCUCGUUCCUAUGUGAAUCACUGCACAUGUUAUACACUUUGUAAAUCAGAAAUGCAGAACAGUGCACAUUCUUACAGAAUGUAACAUUUGCUAUAAGGUUUCUCUAGGAGUUUAGGAUAUAAAGAACAUGGGUUUAUAAAGAAUGUAGUAGGCUAUUAACAUCUACAUAUGUAUUAGGAUAAUAACACUUUAUCAAUUUGUAGAAGAAUGUAAGGGAGUAUAUUACAUUGCAUUUUUGUGUAUAUAUUUUUUCUCUUUCUUAUACACAUCUUUGUUCUCCCCCCUCACUUCCCUUCUUUUUUUCUCUGUAUCACUUUUUUUCUUUAUAACUGAGAUUUUUAAAAAAUAAAAAUAUUAAUGUUUUUAAAAGACAUAUAGGUCUGACAUCUCUUUUUAAGAUUAAAGUUAUAAUUAAAUCCCAACAUUUACUAAACCCAGGCGUAUAGAACCCUCAAACUUACAACAAUAUAGAUUUCUACGUACACAGAGUUUAUAUAUAUUUACUGUAUAUAUUACAUUCAGUUCUCCAACUGAAUCUCCAUCUGAAGUUCAAAAUUGUACAAUCUAGACAGAUGAUUCCCAUCUAAUAUGCUAUUUGACUGUAACUGAAAACUAGGAGAUAGGCUUUGUUCAAAUGAGUAACCAUGUAAGAAAGUCUUAGGUCACAGGGAGUAACUGUUGCUGGCACUUAGAAAUCUGUGGGUGCUCCCUGCCCCGGGAGUAAGAAUCCGUAGGGGUCAAAGGUGUCAUAUUGUCUAGUUUCACUUUCCAUCUUUAUAGUUCUACUUUUGUCCAGCCAGACCCUGCCCUGUUUCCAAUAUCAUUUUCACCCUUUUAUGCUGGGUGUCUUCCAACUCAUUCCACUGGUGACUUAGGAUAAAACUAUACCAAGCUUGGUGAUGCAUUGUUUGAGAGAGUGAGUGGUCAGCAUAUGUGGAGAGGCACAAAGGUGGCCAACAUGGAAGUUGCUGGAACACACAUACACAGGUCUUCCCUGAUCCAUCUAGGGCAGGCUUCCUCAACCUCAGCCCUCCAGAGGUUUUUGGCCUACAACUCCCAUGAUCCCUAGCUAACAGGACCAGUGGUCAGGGAUGAUGGGAAUUGUAGUCCCAAAACAUAUGCAGCGCCAAGUUUGGCCAUGCUUGGUCUAGAGUGUCCCAUAAAGGUUGACCAACAGUUUUCUGGCAAUGUCACCACAAGGAGUGCUUAAUGCAAUGAUGUACUUAGUGAACAGCCUACAAUUAACUAGUGAAUCAACAAUGUUAGUGAUGGGGUGGGGGGAAAGCUGAUGGAGAUGCACACUGAGGAAAGUCAGGAUGACACAGUAAGAGUCUAUCCCUUUACCUUUUACCUGUAAAUGUUGAGUGAUCACCAUUCACAACCAAUAUGGGAGACUAUUCUCCUGAGCAGCAGGGUAUUCCUACCAGUGACAUACAUAUAAGAAUGUACUUUUGUGGGUGAUGCAAGGAAAAGGUCUAACCUUGAUGGGCUAGAACUGGCUACAAGAAUUGAGAUUGGAUUGGCAGCACAUUUGUUUACUCUGCUUGAGGUCAUUGGAAGAACUCUUGGAGCAAGCAGAUCUUUACUCCAGUACUGGGAAUACUAGAUGGGGUGGCAGCCAAGAUCCACAUGAGUCCAGAUGUAGAUCUUCAGUUUUUGUUCAGUUCCUACUAGUGCUGCAUGAGACUGUACAAUGAAGUAGGAAAAGAGAUAUAGUAUCUGGAGAAAGAAGGUAUUCUGGAACCAGUCUGGUUUUCUCACUAGACCACUCUGAUUGCACCAGUGGUUAAGGGAAAUAAAUUUGUAAAGGUUUGCAGAGAUUACUGAGGGACUGCCAUUCAAGAUCACAAAGCUGAAUUUAUAUUCCCUGUCCCAAAAUUAUUUGCCUUCCUAACUGAGUAGACAGUGUUCUCCAAACUAUAGCUUCAUACACAAUAUACCUUUAAAGCACACUGGAAGUGCAUUCUUUCCCUCAAAGAAUUUUGCGCACUGUUGUCUGUUAAGGGUCUAUGGGAACUGUAACUAUGUGAGGGGUAAACUACAGUGCCCAUAAUUCCUUCAAGAAGGACUUUAAAGGUAUAGGAUGUGUACAUAGCCUUCAUAGAAGUCGAGCUUAUCAACAACUGCUUCUUGAUGAGGAACUACUAAAUGGAGUGUUAUUUAGUUAUUUCAACUUCCAGUUUGAAAUAAUAGAAUCAGAGAAUAAUAGAGUUGGAAGCGAUCCAAGGGUCAUCUAGUCCGACCCCCUGCAAUGCAGGAAUCUCAGCUAAAGUAAACAAGCAUUUUAGUUUCCCUUUGAAUGUCCCGGUCCUCAAACACUCUGCAUUUCAAUAAGAAGAAAACUGCCCUUGCAGAGCUCAGGCGAUGCUGGAUUUCAGCAUCAAUAUUGGCCCUUGUGGAAAUAUAAAUGCCCAGGUAGGAGAAGUGAUUGGCACUUUCCAACUUUACACCACUGAGUUGCAGAGGGGUUGUUUUGUGCUUGUUGGUGCAGCACUUUGGUUUUUUGGAUGUUGAGUGAUAGGCCAAGCUUUUCAUAAGCUUCUGCGAAUAUAUUUAGGAUGGUUUGGAGGUCAUCCUCUGAGUGUGCACACACUACAUUGUCGGCAGCAUAUUGAAGCUCUAUGACAGAAGUUAUCACAACCUUACUCUUUGCUUUCAGCCUACUCAGAUUAAAGAGCUUUUCAUCUGUUCAAAUACCCUGGUAAGGAGUUUCCCUUUUACAAUGUGUAGGAUCACUGAAAUGAAAAUAAUAAAUAGAUUGGGGACGAUAACACAACCCUGUUUAACACCUGAUCCCACUGUGAAUGGUUCACUUUGAGAGUCAUUGUUGUCUGUGGUUGUUACUGUCAUAUUAUCAUGGAGGAGCCAAAGGAUGUUCACAAAUUUAUCUGGGCAACCAAUUUUCAGAAGGACAGUCCAUAGGGCAUUACAAUUUACAGUGUCAAAGGCCUUAGUCAGGUAAAUAAAUGCCAUAUAAAGGGAUUGGUUUUGCUCUCUACAUUUUUCUUGAAGCUGUUGAGCGGAGAAAAUCAUGUCCACUGUCCCCCUAGAAGGUCAAAAACCAUUUCGUUUCUGCGCAUGCGGUGAAACCUGGUAAAAUACUUCCAGGUUUGCCGCGUGCACAUCCUGAAGUUUACGUAAACAGAGGUAUGACUAUAUUGCAACUGAGAACAUUGAUCUUUACCUUAAGACAGUGGGAGCCAAUGCCACUGGUAGUCUUUAUAACUUGCACUCAUCAAAAAUAGCAGGGUUUUUACUAUGGGGCAAGCACAGCCUUUUCACUAUGAGGCUCCCUAGCUAUUGAACAAGAACUUUCAAAGAGAAGUUUGUUUUGCAGUGAAAAAGAUCAGAAAAAGAAAGCUUUAAAAUAGAUUGGUCUGUUUUAGAAUGCCUGGAUUAUAUUUAGCUAAAUCCUACUCUGAGUAGACCCAUUCAAAUUAAUGAAACUAUGUCAGUUAUGUUUAUUAACUUCAGUGGGUCUACUCUGAAUUGGACUAGCUUUGAAUACCAUCUUUUGUCACUGUGCUGGUUAUGUUUUGUUUUUUGUUUUUAAACAUCCAGUAAGGAUGCUAAAUACCUUUAUAAGGACUAAUAAAAAGUAACUGCAGGACUCUUCAUGCUCAAUGUUAUGUCAAACAAAAAUAGCAAAAGUAGGAUGAACCAUGGUGUAUUUUAAGAAACGUCAAAAAUGUAAUUUCAGAAUUAAAAUAGAAACUUUUCUUUCAUGACUCAUGAGGUUGUAUACGUGCAAUAGGAACAUAGUAUGUGUGGGGGAGGCAGCCUGUGUUACAAGUUUGUACUAGGCACAAAAAUAUGGUGUUUGGACCUUGCUUGCAUUCGCCCACAUAGCCAUCUCUCUUCCACCCACCCACCCCCACUGCAUCCAAACCCUCUUCCAUUGAUACUCCGGGAAAAGGGAGAGCACUGUGCUAUAUUUCCUUGCCUGUGUUUCUUUAUUAUUACCCAGAGGAUCCCAACAUGGCUGUUGAAAGAACUGCGGACUUUUUCUGGCCUUGAGGAACCUUCUGUCCUCAAAUGUUGCACUUUCCUCUUAAACAUUUUUGUAAGGAGUAAAAAAACAUAAAAAACAUAAAAACCACAGCAGGUUUAGGAAUACUUAUAAUAGUUGCACUUUUGCUUUUGACUGAGUCAGCAGGUAAAUCUGUUUCCUUUUAGAACUUCAUAAAUAUCUAACAAAACCUACUGAGAGUAAGGUAUCAGAGACAAAUGUAAAUGCCUCUUUUUUAAAAUAGCAUUCUCAAUCACUGUAAUUAUACCAUGAGUAUGUUUUUUAAAAGCAUAGACAUUUUGAAUAAUGUUCCAAAUGCAGUUUCAAAGAUUCCUGCGGGGGGCAAAAUUGGCUUUCUUUCACCUCUGAAGGGGGAAAAAAAACAAACCUGGAGCGCUAGAUUUCAUGGAAAGAGACAGAUGUACUUUAGUUUGGUGUAUAUAAUAGCAAGAUAAUAUCUUGUUUUGUACUGAUUAAAUGAGAGCAUAAAUAGCAUUCAUAUUUCCCCGGUUUGUGUGUUUGGGAGGGAAAGCACAUUACAUUCUUGAUCAUGUAAUGGAUAGGGAAGGAAGUUUUGCUUCAAAAGCAUAGCUAUUUGCUACUGAAAAACAACAUUUGCUUUAUUCGUACCAGUUUUAGAGAGGAGGAGUGCAGAACUAAAGAAAACACAUUUAAAAGAUGCCAACAGUUAAAUAAACUAGUGGUGUCUUGUUAGUGUAUUACACCUUGGGGUGGGUGGGGAGGCCGGAUGAGCUACCUGUUAAGUUGUGGGCGAACAUAUCAGACGACACAGCGAUUCUUCCAAAGCAGCUCUUUAUUUGUAAGCUGGAACAGAACUGAACUGAGGAGCUCAGUCAGCCUGCUUAUAUAGAGCUCCACUAGAAUGCAACAGUAACCAUUUUCUGUUACUAUCCAAUCACUGAACGUCACUUUCGAUCCUUCAUUUGCAUACAAACUAUCCAAUCACUGAACGUCACUUUCGAUCCUUCAUUUGCAUAACUAUCUACAGUAUCCCCCUGCUGGCCCAUGGUGAGAACUUCAGUACAUAACACUACCCACCAGAAGCGGUAGUGCAGCAAGAGGGUGCUCAGUCUCUAAGCAGGGAUGAGUAACCUGUGGCCCUUGAGAUGUUGAAUGGGCUCCAGCUUCCAUCAGUCCAAGCCCGUAUGGCCAAUGGCCAGGGAUGAUGGGAGUUGUAGUCCAACAACAUAAGGAGCGUCGCAGAUUCCCCAUUCCUGCUCUAAGCUAAUUUAAAAGGUCACACAAUGGUUAGUGUAAAUCAUGUGUGUGUGCAUAAAGGGCCUCAAGCCUCUGCCCAUGAAUCAGGAGACACUCAGAGCGGUUGCGAGACCUUGUGUUUCCAUCAUGAGUUUCUAAACCUUGGGCUCUUGCCCAUCAAGGUCAGUACCUGAACCAUUUAAUCAUAGAAUCAUAGAAUUGAAGAGUUGGAAGAAACCCUGAGAAUCAUCUAGUCUAGUCCAACACCCUACAGUCCAGAAAUAUGCAGGGUUUCCCCCUAUUCUCCCUACCCCCACACAAUCCCCAAAUUUGCUCUGAAUGGUUAGGAUAAGGUUAACAGACAUCCCCACUUCCCGGGGACAGCCCCCAGAUUUACAAAUCAGUCCCCAUACGAAAUCCAUUGAAGUUGAAAAGUUUCCCCGGAUUCAUUGAAAAAAAAUCUGGUAACCUUAGGUUAGGGGAACCCCUAGAACAAAUUUAAGGGAUGCUUGAAGGGAGAUGAGGGGGGAGACAUUCUAUUGCACAAAAAGAAAUCCCCGCACUGACAAAAGUGGUAUGCAACCCAGGGCUUCUUUUCAGCUGGAACUCACUGGAACUCAUUUCCAGCGCCUCUCAGGUGGGCGCCAUGUGCUAUUAUGAGAGAACAAGAGGCGUUCAUGGUGAGUUCUGGCACCUCCUUUUCUAGAAAAAUAGCACUGCCCGUGGUAUAUACACAACCUUAGUCUAGAUGGUAAUCCAAUUAAAUGUUAUCUAUAGUAGGCGGUAUCUGGUUUUCAACAUCACAAUAUAUCACCAGCUAAACAUCACAAUCUCCUGCCAACCUAGCAGUUCGAAAGCACGUCAAAGUGAAAGUAGAUAAAUAGGUACCGCUCCGGCGGGAAGGUAAACGGCGUUUCCGUGCGCUGCUCUGGUUUGCCAGAAGCGGCUUAGUCAUGCUGGCCACAUGACCCGGAAGCUGUACGCCAGCUCCCUCGGCCAAUAAAGCGAGAUGAACGCCACAACCCCAGAGUUGGUCAUGACUGGACCUAAUGGUCAAGGGUCCCUUUACCUUAAACAUCACAAUAUUUCGAUAUAUCACAAUGUUUGAAAUAAGGUUGGAACUAUGUAGAGGUGAAUAUGGUAAUGCCCUGGCAACUGCUACUAUUUAUGGGUCUAACUCUAAAACUGAUAAAUUUUUACUUACCAUUAACAUAUUGUUAAAACUGUUAUGUUAUAGCAUAUUUUCUCUAAACUUAAAGCUGUAGAAGUAAUUCAGUAGCAUAAAUAUCAAAGGUAAGUUGAGAGAAUGUUUCCUAAAAAAUUAAUUACAUUACUAAACAAGAAAAAAGCCAAUUCACAAUUGUUAUGUAUUAUCACCGUCACACUUUUAGAUAUUCAAAUAUAUUUCACUAUUGAGUCUUAGCUGAAUGUGUGCAUCCCACAACACCAGUUAUUAGACUGUUAGUUAAUACCAACACAGAAAGAAAAGAAUGGAUACAUUUUAACAGAACAAAAAAUUGCUAAACAAAAUUACUAUUUUAGUGCCAGGGGAAUUUGCAUUUCUUUUAUAAACCAGGCGAAACCAGAAUUUUUUUACAGAAUAAAAAAUGAUUAAACAAACAUAUAUAUUUUUGCAAGGAAAAUUUGAUGCAGUUAAUUACUCAAUGAAAUAAAAUUUACUCAGUGAUAGCGUGCUUCAGCUAUAACAUUACAGAUUUCUGGAGAAUAUAGAAAAUAGAUUUGCAUUCUUAUUUUGGUUAACAAAAAUAAUCCAUUUUCCCUGAGGUGUGUCUUCAAUGAAAGUUUGUUAUGACGAAGUUUAGGUCCCUGCUGAAAGCCUGAAGUCAUCUACGCAAUAAACGUAGUUAUUUAUUAUUACAUUUACAUCCCACCUUUCUUCCAAAGAGGUCAAGCUGGAGUACAUGGUUUUCCCACUCUCCAUAUUAUCCUCACAACUAUUUAUGUGCUGGGUUAGGCUGAGGGACUGUGAGCUUCAUGGCUAUGUAGAGAUUUGAGUUCUGGUCUCCCAGGGCCUAGUCCAACACUACUGCAGCACCUUACACUAAACACAUAGUGGAUAUCUGGAAUGACUGGCUUUGAAUAUCAUGCCCCCUUGGACUGUAAAAUCUUCGUUUCUCUGGUACCCAUAAACACCAGGAACUGGUGGGCUUUGCCACAAGCGCUUCAUGCGACACAUUACCUUGCUUUAAAAAAUACAGCUGUUUUCUACAUUAGAAAAACUAAAUAUAGUCCUGGUCCUGGCAGACUACUUUCCCUUUUAAAAUGUGUGUAUUCUAGUCAAGCUUCUUGCCUGAAUGUCCUUUUACCUUUCUGUACUUUUCUGGAUAUUCACCAAAUAGGAAGCAAAUAUUGACAAGUAAGGUUACGGAUUUUUCAAAAAAUGUUGCUGGGGCCUUCUGCCUUCUGCCAUGCACUACCUCCCUCAUUUAUCCAAGCCCACUAUUUAUCUAAACUAGAUGCAUGCCUCCUCCCUAUCCAGAUACAUGAUCCAUUCAAGUAUCAGCAAUCUAUAAUUAGCGAGAACGGAGGACUGCAAGAGUUAUUUAGCAUGUGUGAGUACAGCUUGUUGGAAAGUAUUCUAAAGCUGAUAGCGCCCUCCAACUCCAGCUGCCCAGUCAAAGUCACAGCCACUGAACUGUACAGUGAUUAUGUACUGGAUCUGCAGAUGCAUGACUAGCAUGAGUGUGCUGUUUCUUUAGAUCCAUAACUCUCUUCUGUUUCUGCAUGCAAUAACCUUGAGGUCUCUUUCUAAGGCCUAAUAAUACAUUGCUCUCCCUUUGGGUUGCUAUAGUGCUGAUGGUUUCCAUUUUCAGUAUUUUUAAAUUGUUGCACACACCUCAAUCCCAAAGCAGGGGUGUCUGAUUUUUUAUUUUAUUUGGACAGAUGUACAACCUGAGCAAAAGACAGAAGAACUAAAAGCAUUAACACUCCAACAGAUCUUGCUUUCCCAUUAGCUGUUGGGGAGGCAGGUCCCAAAGCCAUAACUUUGGAUUCAGCACACAGAGCAAAUUAAACUUCCAUGUCUCUUUCCAGCUUCCUGUUCAUAAUAGACAAAACAAAAGACUAGACUUUGGCCUAUUGUUCUCCUUCUUAGAGCCUGGUGGGUGGCUGGAAUUAUCCCAUUCUUCUGGAAGCACCAUAAGCUAGUUGUUCCUACAGCAACACAGUCAAUUCUUUAGAGCCAGUGUGGUGUAGUGGUUAAGAGCGGUAGACUUGUAAUCUGGGGAACCGGGUUCGCUUCCCUGCUCCUCCACAUGCAGCUGCUGGGUGACCUUGGGCCAGUCACACUUCUUUGAAGUCUCUCAGCCCCACUCACCUCACAGAGCGUUUGUUGUGGGGGAGGAAGGGAAAGGAGAAUGUUAGCCGCUUUGAGACUCCUUCGGGUAGUGAUAAAGCGGGAUAUCUAAUCCAAACUCUUCUUCUUCUUCUUCUUUAGUCAUGCAGAUAGGGUGCUUGUCCAGCUAAGGCCAUUAGUUAGUCAGUCAGUCAGUCAGUCAGUCAGUCAGGCUAAAGCCAUUAACUUAGCAAAGGCACUGGUUUGACCACUUCAGCAGUCCCUUCUACUAUAAACUACAGUCAUAGAGAUAUAAAAUAACAGGCUUGACUGAGAUCCAAAGGCAUCAUCCAAACCAACCUCCCAAUCCAAUAACAUUCUUAUUUUACUUUUAAGUAUUUGACAACUAAUAGAAAUAUAUGCUUAGGAUAGAGUUGAUUGCACCUCGGUUUCUAAUACUGGAUAUAUUGGUAAUUUUUGUUUAAAUAAAAACAGAAGAUUGUAUGCUUUUCAAUUUAUAGCCAGGAUGGGGAGCCUAUGGCCAUCCAGAUUUUGCUGGACUACAACUCCCAUCACCCUUGAUCAUUGGCCAUUCUGGCUGGAGCUGAUGGGAACUGGAAUCCAACAAAAUCCCCAACAAAAGCUUUUAGGUACAUCAAACGGUACUUUUAAUGUCCCCAACCUAAAUUUAUAAUCAUCUGAUACUAUACUUUUCUCAUUGGCCUUGGUUAGUUUGGCUCUGCUUUAUUCCCAUUGGCUUUGGUUUGUUUCUUUUAAAUCAUGGUGCAUCUCUGUAUUUCCAGCGACUGACAGAAAGUAGAAGACUAAAUAUGAAAAUGUUGAGAAAGGACAUACAGUGUGCCUAACUCAGCUUAAGUCAGGAAAUAGUAGAAUUCCCUCUGGGAGAACUGCUAUGUCUGAUAUUUCCACACUAAAGGCAACUGGAUAAACAGUAGAGAUGACACAGACUACUGAACGUUUAGUGGACAUAUAUAGACACUACUUGCUUUAUUUCUGCUGCGGGAUGGGUUAUCUGAUUAAUUUAAAUAAGUGACUCUUCAUGGAAACACCCACCCACCAGAUAAUCUGCAUCUUUCCUGAUGCCGAUGCAAGUAAUUAAAGAGGGCAACAAUUAUUCUAAGUAUGCUGUCUUAAAGCACAGUUACUUAGAGGGAAACCUAGUAAAAUUAACGGAAUGUCAUUCCAAGGAAUUGUUUAAGGAUCAGGCUAUCAAAUACAGAACUAAAGGAAGGUACCUAGAUAAGAAAAUUGCAAUGAUUUUAUUGAGAAUGUUCAGUACCUCAAAAGAUUCACCUUGUCAUAUACAUAACAGUAACUAUUAAUUCCAGGACCAUUUGGUCAUCAAAAGUCCAUCAAAGCCUUAUUAUCAUAAAUUCUAACUUAUUUUAUGUUAGAAAUUGUACAGUUUGGAUGUUGUGUUUUUAAUAGGUCUGUGACUGCAGAAUACAUUUGAUUGAUGAAUUGAUUGCCUUUGCCGGGGCCCUUCCCUCGGGACAAGGAAAUUGGGUGGGUGGGUGAGAGAGAGAUGCAGCUAACUCCACAAGGGCAUCACAAUGGGCAAACUAAUUCUGCUACUCUAUACCUUAUCGCCAACAUCCAUAGAUGAACCCUGAGAAGACCAAUCACAACAUUUUCUCCAUCUUCAUCACUUGACCUGUCAGGGAUUUGUGUCUUGUUCCUUAUACGAGCCACUAUCACCAUCUCAGGCUAGAACUACUUUCACCCAAGAUUCUCAUAAAAGCCUUUCUGUAAUGAGGUCUUCCUACUUCAGACAGACAAUUCUCUAGCAAUCCUCACAUUUUAAUCACUUCAAAAAUCUCCAGUGUGUGUGUUUUUAUAAUCUGUUUGCUACACUGAAAUCACAACCAUCCUCCAAAGACUCAGAGCAGAGUUUUAGCCUUACAACAACCUGACUUGUUCCAGACUACUGAAAUGAAUUUACUAUUUUUUCAAAAAAAUAGUUCUCUGGUAGUUCGCAAAACUUGAACAAACAUAUGUACCAUUUACUUAUGCCUACUACACAAAACUAAGAACUGAAUAUUUAUUUAGCUUAAGUCUAUAUGGUGUAAACCUAUAUAAAUUUAUACUGUGCUAAUUUAUGGAAUGCAGUACAGAAGGCUGAGAGCAAGUUGUGUUGCCUUUCUUCCCACGUUUUUGCUGAAAUAUUCAUCUCCAGGUUCUCCACCCCCACCAUUUAUUCCCAUGUUUUCUUUAGCACUGCCACAGAUGUUUGGGCAGCUUGUGUUAGAAGAUAUUAUGUCUUACCAGAGUGCAUUUGUAUAUUUGCAGCAUGUAGGUGAUCAACAUUCCAGCUUGAGCAAGUGGCUGUACCUCAGUACAAUUAAUGCUCUUUGUGAAUAGUCGUUACAGGUUUAUCCUAGGCAAGCUGAAGAACAGCCAGGCAUUGCAUCACUCCACCUUUGAAACAGACAUCCCCUGUAUACCAAACAGCUGCAUCAGAGACUGUGAACAUUGUGCACUUCAGAAACACUAUAAUCAUGGCAGAUGAUGGAUGGGUGCCACUACAUUUUAUUUAUUUUAAAAUUUAUUUAUAUCCAGCACCUUCAGCCCUAAAAAGGUUAUUCAGAACAGCUAACAAAAUAUAUACAAAAGCAACAGUUCCUAUUAAAGCACCACACCACAACUAGUAGACUUCAUAACUGAUCCUGCACCUGGGUAGGAAGAAACAGGAAUGUGUAACAUUUAUCCAGUUCUUCAUAUUCAUAUUUCAUUCAAAAGAACCAAGAACUAUUUCAUCAUCUUUUUAUCUUAGCAAUCAAAAGCAGGUUGCUCACCCGUAACUGUGGUUCUUUGAGUGGCUGUUGAUACGGUUCUAUAAGUGUGUGUUUGUUUGUGCAGCUGUGCAAAGUGCGGAAACUUCUAGAGUGGGGUGUUUAAAAGUUUUGGUGGGAAGUCUGCUCCCAUCCCUCACAACACAUGCUCAAAAGCUGUGCAUUCACCUUCCCGCCUAGUUCCUAAAAGAUCAUUUGAGCAGCUAUAUAAGAAAGCACUCGAGCGAAACCAAGUCAUAAUGGCCUCCACAACAGGGAAGGAGGGUGGGUUGUGUGACUAUAUAGAUCACUGCUUGAAGGACCACAGUAAGGAACCAGUUUUUCUUCUUCACAAUAUCUGUGCAGUCCCACAUAUGGGAGAAUACCAAGCUAAGAGGCAGGACACAUGGCAUUGGGUGAUCACUGAGCUCAACACAGCCUAUCCAAAAAGGCAUCCACUCAGGACAAAAUAUACAAAGCAUAGUGCCUCACAAAUGUCAAUGACUGCAACCAUACAGAAUCAAAACAUGCCUGAGAUUCCUCUUAGGAAGUGUGUUCUCACCUUGGUGAGGGCUCAAAACAACUAGGCCCACCUUAUACAGAAAUAACACCUCUCAAUUGAACGUCAUGGCAUCCCUACUAAGUAUGGCAGGUCCAAGCAGAAACUACAAAGUUCACUAACUUAUAUUGUAGACAUGAUGGGCAGUUAAUUUUCUUGUACUAAUCUUCUGUAAAAGGAAUUCAGGCACCAAGCACUGUCAACUGCAGUAUUGCUUAAUUCAGGACUAUUGUGUAAGGAUAAAUAUCUGAGUAAGGAUAUUUAUUUCCUUACUUUCAGCAUUUUUAUACCUCCCAUUAACAAUAUGGUUUCUGGGCAGCGUAAUUUUUAAAAAAACACCAUUGGAAAUAAAAAUACAAAAGAAAAAAAGGUUAAAACAACAUCAGAAUAAAACCACUAGCAGAGAAAACAAUAGCAUCCAAGUACUAUUCACUAUUCUUCAAGAGUUUAUGAUCCACACAUAGAUCUUGUUCGUCUUUCCCACAUUCAGUUGAUACAGAUUUUAUGCUGCAUUCCAAGAACAAGUUCCUGCACUGUUACUUGGAAUCCUGAGUACAAAAGCAGAGGAAUGGAAAAAUGCUCUCCCUCAGCUGCUAAGGACUCUUUUCCACAUAAUAACUUGCAUUCGGGAGAAUGAUCCCAUAAAUGGCUAUGUGAGUGCCCUUUUGAAAAUCCUGUUCCUGGGAUUUUGUGACCAGGCACGGGUACAAAUCCUCCUCAUGUUUCACUGUUCACAGGGUGAGUAGCCUGCGUACCUUGGAAAGCAGCCCUGACUAAUGUCAUAAGAUGAAGGAGUAUAAAGACCGAGCUCUUUUAGCUAGGACUGAGGAUGCCUCAGAUUUACAUGUUGCUGCCCAAUGUGGUAAGCUAUAAAGAUGCCAGGGUUGGGCAUCGGGCGGCAGUCUGAGAUGAGCCAGCAGCCAUGGAGCAAACCAAUAAUCAAGUCAGGACCAAAGUAAAACCAAGAGACAGGAUUGAGGAAGAAGCCAUGAUUCAGCCAAAGGAUAUAGGAAUGAACUAGGGCCCAACAAAACCUUGCUCCUCUGCGAAGCCUUAACAAAAGCAGGAAGCACUUUUAUACUCUUUUCUGUCUGAGAAGAUCUAAUAGUCAACCUGGAAUGGCAGGGUAAGUCCAGUGCCUAACGAUACUACACUCCCACAUCCAAAUUCAGUGGCUCACCACAUGGGGCAGCCACACACAAACCCAAAGGCUCUCAGUUUAUGCCUCAGUAUUUCCUGACAUAUGCCUGUUGCCUUUUGUCCAUGGAGUUUUCUUGGCAGGGAUACUGGAGUGGCUUGCCGGUUCCUGCUCCAGGUGGAUCACGUUUGGUCAAAACUCUCCACGAUGACCUGUCCAUCUUGGGUGGCCCUGCACGGCAUAGCUCAUAGCUUCUCUGAGUUAUUCAAGCCCCUUCACCACGGCAAGGCAGUGAUCCAUGAAGGGGAAAGCAGAGACAUCACCUUGCCAACAAAGGUCCGUAUAGUUAAAGCCAUGGUUUUCCCAGUAGUGAUGUAUGGAAGUGAGAGAUGGACCAUCAAGAAGGCUGAUCGUCAAAGAAUUGAUGCUUUUGAAUUAUGGUGUUAGAAGACUCUUGAGAGUCCCAUGGACUGCAAGAUGAUCAAACGUAUCCAUUCUUAAGGAAAUCAGCCCUGAGUGCUCACUGGAAGGACAGAUCGUGAAGUUGAGGCUCCAAUACUUUGGCCACCUCAUGAGAAGAGAAGACUCCCUGGAAAAGACCCUGAUGUUGGGUAAGAUGGAGGGCACAAGGAGAAGGGGACGACAGAGGACGAGAUGGCUGGACAGUGUUCUCGAAGCUACAAACAUGAGCCUGACCAAACUGCGGGAGGCAGUGGAAGACAGGAGUGCCUGGCAUGCUCUGGUCCAUGGGGUCACGAAGAGUCGGACACGACUAAACGACUAAACAACAACAACAACAACAAAUUUCCUGACAUAUGGCACAGAUCCUUGGGCCGUGAUGUGGCCUACCGUUUGAUUUGCCUUUGUCCACCCAGGCAGUUCAUUGGCUUCCUCCCCACCCCUCAAGGUUCCCAGACUUGUGCCUAGUUAACAACAGCCUCUCAUGUGUUUGUCCCUUGCCUCUCGGCACAGGCUUGUAAUUUACUGAGUGUCAGCUUUGAUAAAGGUAGACAGCAGGCUCCAGAGGGUCAGUUCCCAACCAGAGCCCACAUAGCUUGAACACUAUGACUGAUACAACCUGGCAAAGAUAUCAGUGCUCUAACCUCACCCUUAAGUAACAAGAACAUCUUACAAAGUAAUAUUUCUUUGGGAGAAGGUUAUAGGUUUCAGCAGGAAGAGCGAAAAGGUAAUCCUCAGUGAGAGUAUCCUAUUUGCUAACUGAGAAUUAGCAAAAACUAGAAGUGUGAGAGUCAAGUGUCUGCAAGGGAUUAAUCUGGGAUGUGCCACGUGUAUUGACGAAGGAAAUAAACAGGGAGAGGCAUAUCUUGAAACCCCACAAAGAGCCUUUGCCUUGUAGCAUACAAGACAAAACGUAAAGCAAAGCAAAACAAAACAAGCUGAACAUAAAAUGUACUUGUUAAACUUCUUCAGAACACAAAGUUUGAAACCACACAUACAACAGAAUGGAAACUGAAUUUAUAAAAAAUGUGAGAUUAAGCUACAGCAUUUCGAGACAUGUGGCAUCCUUCUCAGCGAAGUUAGUCAUGUCACACAUUCCCUCCCCCCCUACUGAGGCGUGUCACAACCCAGAGAAGAAGUCACAGCCAAAACUCAAACUUCUAUCGUGCUCUUUGUUAAACCAAGGCAUGGCUGCAUAUGUCAAAAAAAGCAAAUCCUCAAUCCUUAGAUGCUAAGACUUUUCCAAACUUUAUUGGCCCAGAGUGUAUGCAAGCACGAGAGUCUAGAAUACAAGAACACAACAAUAUGCCAUGAGAUAGAACUGGCAGCUGGAAUUCCUAAUUAACAGCUUGGAUCCUCCAAAAGCUCAAAUGGCAAGAGCCCUUUGAUGCAACGGCAAGAUUGCAGCAUUUCACUUUUAAAAGAAGAUGCCUCCUUGGGAUCACUCGUGUGUAUUAAUAGAAUGCCAUCUGUGUGGGAUGGCCUUGCUUGCAUUUCACCCUUCCCAACUCAAUCACCAGAUGGAGGUUGGGUCAGUGCGGUGAAGCUGCAUUUUGUACAGAUUAUAGGGUUUUCAAAAAAAGAUUAUUUGUUGGCAACAAAAAUGAUACAUGGAAAUCAAAAUCAUGUAGCGCAACGUUUAGCAGUGGAAUGAUGGUUUGUGCUGAUGCACACUGGAGCAGGCUAAUGAUAAAGCUGAUGUGCUUUAGCACACCCUGCCUUAGAGUCCACCUCACUCCUUCUGGGUUAGGAGAGGGUCUCCCCUUUAAUGCGGGUAGAAGGAUGGGAGUAGGACUGGUCUGGGUAUGUCUGGGCUGUUUCAUGAGAGUGGAGCCUUUCAAGUACCAUUUCUCCUGCCACUUCUUCCUCCAUUAACACCCCCUAACUGCUCACCAUUUUCUAAUUCAAACACUGAGGACAGAUACAAAAUUUAAACUUUGCACAAUUUCACUACCUGGCAAAAUGCAUUAGAUUACCCUUCAUGGUCUCAUAGAAGUCUAUAAAAUUCAAACCACGUUAAUUAGAAAUCAGUUUUUUAAAUAAAAAAAAAUCAUACAGGGUAGUAGUAACAUCCUGUGAUUUUCAUAGAUAAUGAAGAACUCUUCUGGAGAAGGGUGUUGGCAUGUGCUCACUCUUUCAGCUGAUUCUGUGGAUGGUCUAAAUUAGUCGUGGUUAAUAUUUCCCUCUUAUCAUGAAUGUCAGGUAGUAAUGAAGAUGGCACGUUUAAUCCCAGAUCUCAGUUGUUGUCACAGCACUAACCAGGCUAAUCACACGCCUAAAACCACUUGCACCAAAAUGGUCCUCUUGACUUCACAGUUACUCUAGAGCAGGGAUGUGCAACCUGGGCACAUGUGAUCCUUAAGUCUAAUUCCAGGCAGGUGACCUGGAGGGAGAAAAACAAGAAGAAAAGUGGGGGGGAGAGAGAAAGGAGGGUGGCUCCAACCCCACCUACCUUUCAUUCCAACACUACUAAUUUCUGCCAUGAGCCUCUUGGAAGGUUACCUCCAAAGGAAUGCAGGCCCCAAAAGUAAAAAGUUUGUUCACCCCUGCUCUAGAAUAACUGAUUAAAAGUAUUGUUGCUGGAAAAAGGGUCAGAAUAAGGCUUCAGAAGCCACACAAAUAGAAGGGGUGGCUCAAAUGACCACUCUCUUUUUCUGAACGCUGUAUCUGAUAAUGCCAUUUUGACUAAAUCAAGGCCAGCACUCAAGAGAACACUAUAUCAAGACCAGCAUCAGAGAGCUCACUAUCAGUAUAUAUCAAAGGUGGGGAAACGUUUUCAGUCUAAGGAAAAAGUGGGCAGGGCAACAAAUGAAACAAACAUUUUUAAUACAAUAGGCGAGUCUCUGCACACAUUCAUAUGCCUCUAUCCUCCAUACAAAAGCAUCACCAGAGUUCAAUGACACAUUCCAGCCAGGCUUGGGGUGUGAAGUAGCAGUAUGAUCUGAGGAAGGCAGGGGUAACCUGGGAAGGGUUCCAGGGGCCAGACAGAGAUGCCUAGAGGGCCACAUUUGGCAGCUAGGCCUGAUGGUCUCCAUCCCUGCUGUAUAUGAUAGUAAUAAAUAAUAUGCUAAUAAAUGACUGUCCAUAAUUCUCAAUGCCUGCAACACAGAGCAUGAAGGAUCUGAAAUGUCCUGCCCCAGCGACUAAAUUUAGAGUGUGGUCAAGUGCUUGCACUUUCCCUGGAGCUAUCAGGAACACAGCACACGAAAUGGCUUAUCAUUAACUCUUGGGAUUCUUCAUAGCUCAUUUACUCAAUAUACUCAGAAGCUUUCUAUUGGUAGAGCGGAAUCAAACCCUUGAAAGGUCAGGCUUACUCAGGGCCUUAUAAGCUCUGGCUUAACGUGAGGUAUAGCUAGCCAGUGUUCAGCCUUGACACUAGGACUUAGGCCAUGAGAAAUGUUGUUUAAUGAAUUUCAUGUGUAUAUUUUUCAAGGUGGCCUGCAUAGCUCAUAUCCAGCCACUGAUAUGAAUCAGACCUACUUCAGAAAGGUUUCUGGAUCGUGUUCCUGCAGAUCAUAACUGUGGUUCAUAACAAUGAAGACAAUUCCAUUAAGCAUCUGCCAUGAUGCAGUCGUUCCUCCCCCCCAUUCCAAUAUCUGGCCAAGGCCAGAUACCAGAACUUGUUGUGAAUGUCUGAGUCCAGUCCUGGAAUGUGUGAGAUAAAGUGACUGCUCUGAGCACGUAUAAAACGUGCUUCCCUCACUGCUGCAGAUGUAAUACCCAGUUUACAUAUUUAUGAGAUUACACAUCUGGGAUUUGUGUGAAAUGGAGUGAGGACCCCUUGGUCAAAAGAUGUGAUUUCUAGGAAUGCCUGAUUCAGGCUGGCACCUCUCAUUUUGAAAAUGGAACAUUAGCAUAAGUACAUCUCAGUGAUUUGAAAAGCUCGUUGUUUUUGAAAAGCAGUCCAGAAGUCACUUUCUGGCCUUGCUUGGUUUUAGUUCAUUAGGGGACACCGUGGUAAUUGUAUAAAAGCUGUGAAAAGACAUGGAUAAAUUUACCCAGCACCUUUCUUCCUCAAUGGUUUCUUUAUUCUGAUGUCAAAUAUUUGAUUUUCUUCUAUUUCAAAGUAUAAUAAUAUUCUGUUAACAUUUUUUUUUAUUGUUAAUUUAAGUGCCAUUAGAAACUUGAGAGCUUGCCUUUUGAAGGAAUUCAUGUCAAGGCUUUUUGAUAACUUACUCUGGAUGUGACAAGCCUAGGAAUCAUUCAUGGUGCGCUUGCUCCUGAGUGCUUACUGUAGUGUCUGUGUUUUGCUACAAUCUCCCUGGGUUUCUUCUCGGCUUACCCAUUGUGGUUUGUCUCUCACAUAUGAACACAGUUCGCUGGCUACCUAAUGGGACUGUCAUCAGCCACAAAAUGGCUGCAUUUGUACUUAAUACUAAACCAAGUUUUAGCAUUACAUGCAUGCAUAGGAAGGAGCUGCCACAAGGCUCAAGCUUCCAUACUCCCCCAUCUCCUUCUUCUGUGCAGCCACAAUUGCUGGUUUGCAUGUAACAAACCAGUUUUUGUGGGAACUGAAACUAAACCCUGCUGCAUGGGAAGAUGAGGAGGGCAUGCAGGAGCCAAAGAUCUAUGGUGACUCCUUCCUGCUUGUGCCCACAGUGCUAAUCCAUGGUUUAGUGUUACAUGCAAAUGUGGCCAUUAACAAUAAAGGAAAAUAUUACAGCAAUGCAUUGCAACAAAAAAAUUUAUUUAUACAAAGGGGAGAAGGGACAUGAAAAAUGAUGUACAAACAUCCUUUAUUGCUUUUGCAUUGUACUAGUGAGCAACUGGGAAGAUGUAACUAAUUGUCUAGCAACCAACAGUGUGAUGCCCUCAGUUUACUCCCAGCCUUGAAUAAGUUUCAUAUCAGCAUGUGGACAGUUGAACCUAUCAAGACAGGCCAAUUGGUAUCUUUAGACUGUACAAGUCCAUGCUGGAUUUCUGGUUUAGUACACUUAUUAGCAGUUAUUUAGAGUGAAAAUCCUUUAUAAACCGGAAGCAUUGCUGUACAACAUACAAGGCCAAAAGGUCCGUGCAAAUUCAUGUUUGGCUUUUAAUCCAUGGGCUAGAGCUGGCAAAACUAAACUGACAAUUGGCUCCAUAUAUGCCCCAAACUCAAAGCAAUUAGAAUUCAUCCAGAAAACACUAACAAAAAUCCUCUCCUUCUAUGCAGGGGAAGCAAUCUUGGAAGGUGAUUUCAACCUAAAUCUGAGAGAUAUUCCACCUACAACCCCAUGGGCUACCUUCCUCCAAAAGAUACCCCAAACGACUAGAGAUUCUUAGAAAUUACUAAAAAUGCUAAAACAGAGGCCUAUACGACAUCUGAGGCAAAAACACAACAACCAGGAGACACCAGCCACACAUUCCAGGCGCCAUGGCACAACGCCCAAACUGCAUAGCAUUCUGCUCAUGCAAGUCCUGAUCCUUUUGGUUGAAACAACAAACAUUGGUAACAUUAAGGUAACAGACCACAAACACCUCCCUUGUUCUCUUAUAAUGGCAAUGGCACCCACUUGAGAGGUGCCAUAACUGAGUUCCAGAGAGUUCUGAGUGAAAAAAAGUCCUGCCUGUAUAUUUGGGGUUUCUGUGGCAAAUGCUUACAGCAGAUCAAGGAUCUGUUAGAAUCAUAAUCAACCUCUAUAUGUGCAUUGAUGUUUACUUUCACCAUUAAACGUUUUCACAUUAUGUAAACACAGGCCUCGUAUAUGCUCUGAUACCCGUCUAUCCUUGGAAGAAGAGACUGACAGGCCCUAAGUGCUGUGGGAUUUUCUUGUCAGUCUGACUGACAGCUUUCAAGGAGACAGCAGUUCAUUCGACUUUCAGAUGUCAUCUACAUGAAUAAUAUGAAAAAACAACUCAGCUUUUUGUAUUUCCCUAAUACUUUCUCUUGGAUUUUAGUGACAGCUAUAAAACUCCAGUGCUUUGGGUGAGGGAAAAUACUUCCACCAACUCUCCAAGCUCUAAAGCUCACAAUAUACAAAAGCUUUACAGCUCAAGACCUUGCAAUUGUUUUUCUUUUAUCAUUCAGGCACACAACACAAAUCUCUGCAAUGUUUUAAAACAUACAAUAUACUUUUAAUGCCUCAGAUGCAUUACACUCUUUUGACAGCAGCUGGCAUUUCACCACUGAUAUUAUUUUAGUCAUUUGACCAUAAUACAUGCACAACAACUUCUACAGCGAUUUCCACGUGAUCGCAUACCACUGGUGAACAGGCAACAGCAUCAGCGGUUUGAAGGGCUUAAACCAUUAUAGGAUUUAAGAUUACAGACAUGCUUAUUCCACCACAAGGAUGCAAUAAAUAAUCCAAUCUAUAUGUCUGUGUAGGGGGGGUGUCCCUGCCCCCUCGUCUCAUAAAACACUUCCACAGAUCAUCUGCCUUUCCGCAAUCCAAGUCAGAGUUGCUCCCACUUGAAUCAGUCCCUGAUCCACCUGUGAUCAAAAGUGUCCAGCCAACUUUUGCUCAAAUGUGGUUUCAAAAGAGCCUUUUCUGUCACCAUUUAGGCAGGGGUGAAAUGCAGUCCAUUGGGUAGUGAAUAUUCUUCAUGCCAGUUCUGGAGCAGUCUGAACAGGGCUCCAUGGUUUGUUUUGCUCCAUUAAAAAGAUUUUCUUACCAGUAUUUGACAAGCGCUAUCACAUCUUCUCCAGGCAAAACAUUCCUGGUUACUUCAAACUUUCUUUUCUAACGCCAUCUUGUUGCCAUCCUCUCGAGCUGCCGUCUGCAUUGUUCUUAAAAGUGGCGCUCAAAACUGGACACAGAACUCCAUAUAAGGUCUGACUGAUGCAGAAUAAAGAGGAAAUGUUUCUUACGACUUGGAAGCUACAGUUCUAUAAAUGAAGCUAACUCAUGUACAGCUUAUGUUUAACUAAAUUCUGUUGCUCUUUACACAAGUAUUACUACCAAGACAAGUAUCGCCCAUCCUGUACCUACACAUUUGAUUCCUCUCACCUGCCACCCAUUUUAGUGUAGAACUUUGCAGUUGAUUCUGUUGAAAUUUAUUUUGGUCAUUGCAGGUCAAGUCUUCCAUUCAAUCAAGGUCAUUUUCAAUUUUAUUCUUUUCUUCCAUGGUGCUAGUUAUCCCUCCUGAUAUUGUGUCAUCUAUGAACUCAAUAAGGAACUCCUCCUCUACUUCAUUUUUUUUUUUAAUUUCAUUAAAUUUAUACGUAGCUUGAUAAUUAUUCUGAAAAAUCCCAAAACAGCUUAUGAAGAGAAUGAAACAAUAAAAUCAUAAAACAACUUUAAAUAAUUCAAAAUUAACAGUAAAACAGAACACAUUCUACACAUCUCGGUAGGCUUGUAUAAACAAAACUGUUUUUAGCAGGUGCCAAAAAGAAUACAAUGAAGGUACCUUCAUGAUGGCAAUAGGCAGGUAGUUCCACAGUGAAGGUGCUGCCACACAUAUAAGAAUGAAUGAUUUUAAAAUGUUGAAGAAGAGUAUUGGGCCUAGAUCAGAGGUCUGUGACACCUACUCAAAGCCUCUUUCCAGUUUGAUGAAGAACCAUUUUUGAAUGUCCUUUGAGUGUGGUUUUCCAAUCAGCUGCAUAUCUGCCUGAGAGUAUUAACAUCUAGGCCUCAUUUAGCCAGCAUGCCAACCAAAACAUAAUGGGGAAAAUUCACAAAUUCUUUGCUGAAAUCAAGAUAAAUUACAUCCACAGCAUUCCCACAAUCCAUUAGGCCAGUAAAAAGAGAGAAUAUUAGUCUGGGAUGAUUUAAAAAAAAUAAAUAAAACCAUACUGAGCUCUACAUUGCUUGAAACUAGCCUAAGCAACUUCUUAUAGGCAAUAUGCAAGUACUGUGCAGUCUUUUCAGAAUUAUUUGUUGUAGCUCAACUCUUCAGUCAUGUUUACAUGAUUUCUUUAAUAAUUAUUACUGCUAGAAACUGACUUUGUUUAAAGUGAGAUCCAGGAAAAAGUGCCUAACAGCAUGCAUACCAUAUGGCAAGCACACCUGUUUUGUGUACAAUGUUAUGCCGCUGAAAGGGAAGAAUAUUAUUUGAAACAUACAGUACCUGAACGUCUCUUUUUCUGAUCUUAGUUUUGCUGUUUGCAGUACAGUAUUGAUUCUUUGGCCCUUGUGCACCAAUUAGAUAAUACCCUUUGAUUGCUCUGAUUGUUGCAUUUAUUUCUAGGUAAUUGCAACUUUUACUCUCAAGUCGGGAUGGAAAGGAAAACAAAUCCAAUGAUGAAAGUUUAAAGGAAUUGGGUAGGUUUGGCCUGGAAAGAGCUGAGUGAGUUGUCCCUGACAGCACUCUUCAAAUGCCUGGAAGUCUGUCACACAGAGGAGGGAAAAGACUUGUUCUCUGCUGCCCCACAGGGCAGGAUUUAAUCUAAUGCAAUGAAGUCACAGGAAGUGUAGAGUUGCAUUAGGUGACAUGUCUUGAUGGAAAGAGAAUCACAACAAUGGAACUAAUCACCUAGAGGGGUGCUGGGUCCUCUUCUCAUUGGGGGGCUAUGUGCACACUAUACAUUUCAAGCACAUGACCUCCCCCAAAGAGUUGAUACAAUUCCCAGUGUGCUCAAUAAACUACAGUUCCCAGAAUUCUUUGGGGGAAGUCAUGUGCUUGAAAUGUAUGGUGUGUACACAGACAAGGUCUUCAAGCAGAGGCUGUUGGGGAUGCUCCAGCACUGUGUUACACUGAGCAGGAUAUUAGAUGGCUUACAAGGUUCUUUUCAUCUCUGUGAUUCAAUGAAAUUCUGCCCGUUGUGUAGAAGCAAUUUAUCUGUCAGCAGCCCCCACACUGCUGGGAGAAUGUCUGAAUGAUCCAAACACAAAGGCGGUGCACUGAUUACAUAGACCUGCAGACUGUCCCGUUCUGAGGAGCAAAUGUGCAAAGGGCAAUACGGAAAGAACCUAAGGCCUAAGUUGGUUCAGGGGAGAAAGGCCUUUCUAGUCCAGCAUUCUCUUCCGCAGAGUGGCGGGUGAGAAAGCCCACCACAAUAUGUACAAGACAUGUAAAUACGUUCACAUGCCUUGCUGAGUCAUUUAAUUUUUUCUUCUAGCCACACAGGACGGAGCUGCUUCUGGAAAGAGAGUCCCUUGUGGCUGAGAGAACUUAAAAGCUCUUCAAUUCCAAAGCAGGGUGGGAGGGGGGAGUCCAGGCUUGCUGACUGCCAAAGCCACCCACUCUUCAUCCCCUGCCAUGAGCCUUUGUAUCCAGGUGCUAGACACAUAGCAACAGCAUCCUAAUCUCAUCUGUGCUGAGAACCAUUGAGCAGCAGCUGCAUGAAAGGUAUAAGCAGCUAUUUUCCUGACUUGGGUGAGUAUUUUCCUGGCUUAGGACCAAAUUGGUGGCUGUGGCAUGCCUUUUUCUUUCUUUUUCUUUUUUUAGUUGGCUUGAGAACAACGUGAUGAGCAUGCCAUUUAAUUUUUCUGGCCUGAGUUCAUGUCGUUGAGCAAGCUGAGUGUCUAGAAGUUGUAUUGAAUGCCUUUUGUUCUCUCUCCUUUCCUCUUUGUAAUAACUCCUUUGCAAGACUGUUUGCGGGCAAAACCCAUAGGUUUUUGUUUUGGAAAGCACUCAGGAGGUGCCCGAGUGAGACAUAAUAAAAAGUUUCUUCUUCAGUCACGGUGGGAUGUAAACUACAUUUUCUUUUUAAAAAAAUAAAAAUAAAUCAAAGAUCCUUACAGAUAUUUUGCUGCCUCAAAAUAUUUGGCUACAGGCCUUGGGGUAAUAAAAUGUUGUGUUUAUGCAAAAAGACAGUGGAAUAAAGAGCAGGCAAGAGUUGAAAUUAUGAGUUGUGUCCAGUGUGGGACCUGUGGGCAAUCACUGGAGCAUUAUUUCCAUUUCAUCAACUCCCACUGUGCACCCCCAACAUUUGCCCCAGGGGGUCCCCAAAUCCUCUGGAUCUGAUUUGAAGAGUCAUGGCAGCAAGAGAGCAUAGAAGGAGAACAGAAAGCCCCACUGCACACAUGUAUGCCUGCUGCACCAGCAGAGCUGCAGCACUGGAUAAGGCCCUUUGUCAUUUGGAAAAUCUUAGCUCAGAUGUGAAUCUGACACACAUCUUGGGAAGCUUCAUGUCUCAGGUGAAUUUUACCAGGCUUCACAUGUUUAUAUACUGAAACAAUAUUUGAACCUGAGUCAAACAACUGCUGGGCUGUUUGCAGAAUCUGGGUUUGAUUUCUGGUGUUUGCUACACACACCUUUAAAACCAGGGCUUGCAACUCUGUGCUGAGCUCACUAUUUAUUUAUUAUAUUUCUAUCCCACCCUUUCUCUCAAAGGAGCCUAGGGCAGGAAACAAACAAGCAAUAAAGCAAAACAUCUUAAAGAACAAUUCCAAUACAGAUGUAGGCUGGGAAAGAUCUCUACUUAAAAGACUUGUUAAAAGAAGGUCUUCGGCUUGUGCCCAAAAGACAGCAGAGAAAUGCCUAUCUAAUAUUUAACAGGGGGGAAUUCCAAAAACCGGCCCAACUAUAUUAAUAACCAUGCAGUAAUUUGAAGUUUGCAACAGUGAAUCCAAUGGUAACAUAAUUUUCCAAAGUAAAAUGAUGUGCUUGUUUUCGAAUGGAUUAACAAGCUUGCUUCUGUAAAAAAAGUUAAAUAAUGUGUGACUUUUAAAAUACAAAUGAAUACUACUAGUGCUUGUGUAGUUUCAGCAUAGCUACCACUCUGAUGUUUGUUGGUAGAAUACAGAUUCCUGAGAUGAUGUUGGCAUUGUGAGACCAUUCUAAACCUCCUGAGCGUCUGGGCAGGGAGGGGGAUAAGUAAAUGUAUGUUUAAGAUUCUAAGAAAGCUGAAGUCUGAUGAUAACAAAGAUGUGGGAACUCUUGACACUACUCCAGCUGAAGCAAACUUUCAGCGAACUCUAGAGAGUUUCAUUCAACAGGAUGAGCUUACCAAGAAAACAGUCAUUUCUGGCUAGGUCUCCAAUACUAGCAACAGCUGUGAGUUCAGCUGGUAAACAGUUUUGUUUUCUGCUUGUCAGUGAGCUUCUAGAACAGAUGCGGAAUGCAUAAAAAAUAGGUCACUGAAAUAUAAAAAGGAAUGCACCAAGCUGAAAAGCUUGUAGUGCUCGGAUAUUGCUGCAGAGCUCGUAAUGUCAAAUUGUACACUGCAUGUGGUUGUACUAUACAUCAGACUGUCUUCAAAUGAUAGGAUUACCUAGAAAUUUCACCAAUUGCAGCAAGAAAGCAUAUCAGCAAAUAACGUAGGUGAGCUCCAAUUCUUAUGUUUUGGAAGCCACAUAGUUUCUGCCCUUUAUUAUAUUGAUCCCACACUACAAAGCAGGACAGAAAGGAAGAGGAACCAGCAACUCAUCCUCCAAGCCAUUGUUGCCCCUCCCACCCACCUCUGGGCAAAGGAACACUGGCACGGAAGUAACUACAUCACCAGCCCUUCCUAUUGGCACACAAAUGAUUCAUAGAAUUGUAGAGUUGGCGCUCAAACCCAUGACCCUGAGAUUAAGAAUCUCAUGCUGAGCAAACUGAUGGGUUGCUUAAAAUGGUACAAAUAGGCAGAGAAAGGGCUUGUAAUAGGCACAGUGUACGACCUUCAACUUCACAGCAAAACAUGUGCAAUAGUUGUGCUCGGUGGAGAAAUAAUCACUGUUUCCCUGUAACUACAGUUAUAGACUACUCAUUCUCACUCAGAAAUGUGCAUAACCUCAAAAUUAUUGUGACAAAAGUGUAUCAUACACCAAAACACCUAGGAAGGCCAACUCAAUCAUGUACAAAACAGUCUCCCAAAAUCAGCCCCCGGGGAAAUUACCCACGCCGCUUUUAUAGUGUUUUCCAUGCUUUGUUUUGUGUUUUGGAAUAUAUGGCAAUCUUACAAUAGUAUAUUUUUUAUUUCUGAUAGCAGUUAUUGACCAUUUGUGUACUUUUGAAUUUUGGUAUGUUUUGUGUCAAACAUAAUCCAGUUAGGCUCUUGACAUAUUUAUCUAAACAAAAAGGAGUAUUAGCAUGCAUGUUAGCAUGCAUGUGUGAUAUCAUUCAUUAUGAAUUCAUCUAACUAUCCAAGGGAUGGGGGGAAGUCUAUGGGUGAAUGACUUUUCCUUCAUUAUUUCCGAGAAAAGUCAUUGCUAGGGUUAUGUUUUACAUAUCAAAAUGUGCAAAGAAAAACCACGCUCUGUGAGUUUUGUUCAGAGACGUAAUAUCUAAAACAAUUCUAUGGCAUUCUAUGUCAGUGCUCAAACUCUGAUCUUUAUUUUGAGAGAUACUGCAUUACACACAAAGAGUGGGUAGGGAAACACACUUUUGUUUCAAUAAUAUCUGUUUCAAUAAUAUCUUAAGUGGAUCUCCACUUAAGAACAUAAGAAGGACAAGCCGGAUCAGGCCAGAGGCCCACCUAGUCCAACAUCUUGUUCUUAUAGUGGCCUGAGGGAAACCUGCAAGCAGGAUUUUAACCCCAAGGGCAAUCUCCCCGCCUGUGGUAUUCACAGAAGCAUAGUCAUCAGUAGCCCUUUACACAUUCACUUUUCACACAGCAAACCAAAGUUGGAAGACCAUGACAAUUAAUCCACCCAUCAAGCUGAGGAGAACAAUUUUCUUCGUUUGUCCCAUACGUUCAACUCAACACCCUUUUUCCAGGAACCUCUCCCACACAACUUUGCACGCAGGUACAUCCUUACUCGGAAAAUUGCUGGUGUGCACCAGUCUACACCGGUGAGGGAAAAGGCAGCCUAAAUGGUAGAGAUAGUUCCCGGCUCUCCAUAUAUACAGCCUGCUGGAUAUUAGCCCUGCUGCUAUAUAUAUAUGACCACAUGAAGGGCUCUGACAGUGUCAUCUGACCUGACCUGGGUCUACCAAUGAUGACUCAGAGGAGAGACAAAAGGAUCUGCAGAAAGUGAUCUGUGGUGGCUGGUGCCCAUUGUGACUGGCAGGACAGGAGGCAGGGAGACCAACGGUAGACGCAUGACAAACAGAGUCACCCUCUGACUGGUGGUAAGUCAAAAGGCAGCCAAGUGGAAGGAAUGGGGGUCAGGCUGAGGUUUGUGGGGCACUGCCCCAAUUGCCCUAAGAGACUAGCUUAAUGACCACAACAGAGGCACCAAAUUAAAAAUUCUAAAAUGUCCUUCCUAAUCCAGUUCUCUUUUUCAAUCCAUGUGGCUGUUUGUCAUCUAUACAUACAGAAAUUGGGGUGGUGGUGGAGGAAUUGGGUUGGAUAUAGUCCCUCCCUGCUCCGCCCCUCUUCUCACCAAGGAUACAAAACACAGGUAGCUGAUGCACCAUGGAGCCCCUAAUCAAUGGCCUGCGUUAAAAAGUGAAAUGCUGUAAUAAAACAUUAUUAAGCUACAUUAAAAAGCAGGUUGUCAAAUGAAAAUGCUCACUAAAAACUAUUGGCAAACGGAUCUAUAAAAGGCAUUGGACUAGGAAAACUAGCCCUCCAAAAGGGGAAAUUUUUCAUAUGACGGCGAUGUUGUCUGUGGUCACAAUAGUGAAAGAGCUCCAUCUGCUGGCAGAGGUUAGAAAGCUCUUUUCAAUGUAUCGGUUCCUCUACCCCCCACACCACGUUUAUAAAUGUCUUCUCAACUUAUGUGCAUGAUUUUAUUUCACAAAAAAUACUUUUACUGCAAGAGAGGUUGGAGGAGGCACUAUAUAAAGUUAUCAUUAGACAAAUUGGAUAGCUUGUAUUAUACCUAACUUCAUGCAGUGGAACUGGCAUUUCAAAUGGGCCUGUAUUUUCUCACUAGAAUUGCCGCCCUUUUGUAUAGAUCAUGACAAACCUACUUAUUAUAUGGAAAAAAAUUGCCUUUGAAAGCCAAGCAACAUGAAGUCAAAGCACUAUACAGUUUGCUUC
Podarcis lilfordi (Lilford's wall lizard) is the source of this 38500-nucleotide non-coding RNA. The record is from the annotation of a GenBank genome assembly. Lineage: Eukaryota; Metazoa; Chordata; Lepidosauria; Squamata; Lacertidae.